Molecule: transfer RNA, 62 nt
Filed under: Oryzaephilus surinamensis (saw-toothed grain beetle)
Lineage: Eukaryota; Metazoa; Arthropoda; Insecta; Coleoptera; Silvanidae
Description: tRNA-Glu
Source: RNAcentral
UUUACAUAGUUUAAUAAUAAAACAUUAUAUUUUCAAUAUAAAAAUAGUCUCAACUUGUAAAU